Molecule: unclassified non-coding RNA, 253 nt
Filed under: uncultured Caryophanales bacterium
Lineage: Bacteria; Bacillati; Bacillota; Bacilli; Caryophanales
Description: uncultured Bacillales bacterium contains 16S-23S intergenic spacer region
Rfam family: Bacterial small subunit ribosomal RNA
Source: RNAcentral
UACGUAGGGGGCAAGCGUUGUCCGGAAUUAUUGGGCGUAAAGCGCGCGUAGGCGGUCCUUUAAGUCUGAUGUGAAAGCCCACGGCUUAACCGUGGAGGGUCAUUGGAAACUGGAGGACUUGAGUGCAGAAGAGGAGAGUGGAAUUCCACGUGUAGCGGUGAAAUGCGUAGAGAUGUGGAGGAACACCAGUGGCGAAGGCGACUCUUUGGCCUAUAACUGACGCUGAGGCGCGAAAGCGUGGGGAGCAAACAGG